AACGAACGCUGGCGGCAUGCCUAACACAUGCGAGUCGAACGAUGCCUUCGGGCCUAGUGGCGCACGGGUGCGUAACGCGUGGGAAUCUGCCCUUGGCUUCGGAAUAACAGUUAGAAAUGACUGCUAAUACCGGAUGAUGUCCCCCUGAGAGAUCUUGGGGACCAAAGAUUUAUCGGCCAGGGAUGAGCCCGCGUAGGAUUAGGUAGUUGGUGGGGUAAAGGCCUACCAAGCCGACGAUCCUUAGCUGGUCUGAGAGGAUGAUCAGCCACACUGGGACUGAGACACGGCCCAGACUCCUACGGGAGGCAGCAGUGGGGAAUAUUGGACAAUGGGGGGAACCCUGAUCCAGCAAUGCCGCGUGAGUGAUGAAGGCCUUAGGGUUGUAAAGCUCUUUUACCAGGCAUGAUAAUGACAGUACCUGGAGAAUAAGCUCCGGCUAACUCCGUG
Molecule: ribosomal RNA, 447 nt
Filed under: uncultured bacterium
Lineage: Bacteria
Description: partial 16S ribosomal RNA
Rfam family: Bacterial small subunit ribosomal RNA
Source: RNAcentral